GUUAACUGGCCUAUAGUUCCAUGAUUUUUCUCCCGUUUUAAAUAAAAGGAUACAUUUAUUAUGUUUCUGUCCAAGAUAAUUGUUCAGCAUUGAGAGUAUGCUGGAUGGUUAAAACCAAAGGAUCCGUUAUCUCUGAAACAAGUCCAGAGGAUUUAUUAAGUUUAAGUGCCAAUAAAUUUCUCUGGUAUUAUAUCUUUACCUGUAAAAUCCACCUAAAUGCCUCCUUACCACUCAACACUUCAUUUCUUUCUAUUUCUAGAUUGGCUUGUGCGUCUUAAUUGGGAUUGAAAGCAAGGGCCCGUUGGCCUAAAUCCUAGAGUAUGAAAGGAAUUGGCAGCAGAGAUCGCAGAAUCACUUGUUGUAAUAGUCCUGGCUGCAGGAAAGAUACUGCAUGGCUGUGUGAGCAAUGAAAGGUGGAUGCCUGGAAUUGAUUGCACAAAAGACACAGAAAGAUAAAAUGGCACAGUUGGAGAACCUAUUUACCUGCUGUCAGCUGAACAAAAACUGCUAUCCUACUGGCAAACCUGGUAUUGCUUAUCACAUAAGCUGAAACACUAUCCCAUGAAUGAAGACAAGGACUCCAAGUUCCGGGUAGCCCAUCUCUUUUUGGUAUUUUCUGUAGUUCCUGAUCAACUGUAAAUAUAGCAGAUGCACACUCUCAUGGGACUUCUUUUUUGUGAAGAUUUACAGUGAUGUAACGAAAGACAAGAAGUCUGAAGCAGCCUCAAAAGGAACUGGUUAUAGCUUUUUCAUGUUUUGUUUCAUGAAUCUCCCCUUACCCCAAACAACGAGACUGAACUUUCUCUGAUGAAUUCAACCAUAUCUACUCAGAAAUGAAGCAACUUCAUGCUAUUCAAUGAAUUUGAAUGGUGAAACAGAAAACAGGAUAACAUUUUCUCAAAGUUAAUUGUACAGGAAUACAAAUUGGACAAUGACUGCUGGAUAUUAACAUUUAAACAUACAACUGCUCUGGAGCUGAAUGUGCUGUACUAUUUGAGCAUAAAUUAUACUGAGCAACAAAAGUAAUCAUUGAGAGA
Molecule: non-coding RNA, 1037 nt
Organism: Chiloscyllium plagiosum (whitespotted bambooshark)
Lineage: Eukaryota; Metazoa; Chordata; Chondrichthyes; Orectolobiformes; Hemiscylliidae
Source: RefSeq, a predicted model, not a curated record